CAGCUGAGUUUCCCAUGUCCAGGAAAGAGAACACUGCAAGGACAGCUCUUCGCACGAAGAAUAGCGAACGCGUCUUAAACCCUCGUUGCCUGACUGACAGUCGAUAAUGAUAUACUGCACCCUACAAUACCAUGAGUAAAUCUCAUUCACAUAUGAAACACGGAGAUUUUGAAAAGGGGCGGGAAACAUCACCUUCGAUCACGUAAUUUUUGAAGAGUUGCAAAACGUAUCUGCAAGAGAAAGAAUUAGAAUUUAUUUUGAAUAAUUUAAAGAAAUCUCACAGUAUUGUAAGCGGUAAGAUUUAAAAUUAUAAUGGUUGUACUGUAUUACGGGGUAGAACGGGUACAAGCUCAGAAAAGUAGAAGAUUGGGCUUUACACUGCGUAGAAUGCUCCUUAUAAAAGAAAAUUCUUUCACUCUUUUCUUGCAGGAUAUUAGUUGACACCCGAAGAAUAUUAAUGGGUGGCUGAAGAUCGAUGACCAACGAAUAACGCGUAUGGCGAGAAAAGGAAUAUACGAAGUUUACGACGGGGCAAAAAGCGACACCGCAUUCUCAUUCGUCGCGCUACAAUCGAUAAGGGGUCUCUUUUGCACGAGGCUUGCAUAUAGAACGAGUCCUAACUGUACCAGACGUAUGUACAGACAAGAAUAGAAGAAGAGAAAAAUUAAUCUCCCUUGGGACUAGUCUCCAAUCGGAUUUAUAGUGGCUCGCAAAAGUAUUUGAACACAUACUAUAAAAAACUUUAAUAUACAAUAACGGACAAGAGAAAGUUUAUGAAAUAAGGAAUAUAAAAAGACACCAUAAUUUUACAAAAUGGAUUUAUAUUUAAUAAGAACAACCGAUAAAUAUUAUAUAUAUAUCAUAAAAUAGACGAUUAUUACUUAUAUGGUAAACAAAUUUUUAUAUGAAAUUCAUAGCAUAUCAAUUUUUAACUUUCUGCUGUCCAUCACUGUGUAUGAAUAUUGUAGAUAUGUUUUACAUUUUCAAAUAACGAGUCACGACUACUGUGAUUAUUAUAUAUAUGAUCAAAUAUGUAAAUAACCCGAAAAUUUUUUAUAUAGAAAUUAAAAAAUUACUUAGUGCGAGUAAGAAACAUGUUUUAAUAAAAUUUAAGUAAAGAAGAAACUUCUUUAUAUAAUGGAUAUAAUGGAAUGUAAGUGAAACGUGUCAUGUUUCGUAUUCAAAAUUUUCCAUGACAAAAAAGUGAUUUGUGCCGGAUGCAAGCACGCUAUCGCUUUUUCAUUCGCGGAACGAUUCACACGGUGUAAGAAUGCAAGACUCGAAUGCGUGUCGUUCCCAUUGUAUGCGGAUCUUAUGUUUGUAUUUGCUGCAUGUGUAUGUGUAUAUAUGCUCAUUAUAAGAGAAGAGGAUUCUCCUGCAGAAUAUCGUCUGCAGGGGUCGAACAAAAACUAUGCUGGACUUUACAAAAAACUUAUAGAAAUUCCAUUAACAUGAAAAUAUAGCCUUGCAUUCUUAUACUAAUACUAAUACUAAUACUAAUACUAAUUGAAUUAAAAUAAUUAUACUUAUGAUACACUUGAGAUUUUAUAGUGAGACAUCUAUAUGAAAAUGAAUGUACUAGCAUGUGCAGCGAUAAUACAAUGUAUAGGUAAGGAUAACUGGCUGAAAUAUUCGAACCAUCAUCUUCGAAAUGACUUUGACAAGCCAAAAAUUGUAGUAUACAACGCAAGUGGGGAAACGUACUGGGUGGUACGUUUCCAUUAUCCGGUGACCUCGAUACAUGAAUAAUGACUCGAGUGUUCAACUUGCGUAAUAAGAAACACGUACUCUCUGCCUAUUGCAUCUGAAAAUAGAAUUCAACGAAUGGGGAUGAACCAAACGCAAGUUUUACCACAUGGGAGAAAACCAAACCGAGUAAUGCUCACAUUUCAUCCGUUUAAACCCUCGCAAGACACACGUGCUAUUUACGUAACACUUCAAAGAGGAAAAAACGCUCCUUUCCAGAAGCGUGUUAAUUUAAUUAAGCAAAUCAACACACCGAAAACAAGUCAAAAUAUCUUGUGUAUCAAUAUUUAUUUCCUCAAAAUCUGCAUUAAAAUAUUGGACUUCGGCUUUCAUCAUUGUACAUGAAGGAUCCAAAUAUUGUAUCAGUUGUUUGUGCAUUUUGUUCCAAUGCAAAACAAGAAAUUCCUCGCUAAACUAACAUAACAUCGCAAUAUUAUUCUUUUUGAAAGUAUCAUAUUACUUAAGUUAUAUAAACCUAUAACUGAGGAAUUGGCUAAUAGAAGUUGUGCAAGAAUCACGAUAUUCGGGAAAUUUUUUGUGAAAUAUUUUGAAUUCGAUUACACAUAUGUACACGAAUAGACCAUGAAUCAGCUGUUGAAAAAUUUAGUAUAGGAACAAAUAAAACACAAAGCGGAAGAAGCGAUUAGAGUUACACCCAAAGUUCGUACACGCUAACCCGUGAACGAAUGCACUUCAAAAAAGAUCACAUGAUAUAUUUCCGGCUUGCUACUUCCGCUAUUCACAGAGAAGCAUGUGUAACCACUUUAAAGCGGCCACGGCAACCAGCGGACCAAAAAGUCUUAACCUCUUCGUUUCACCUGCUUUCAAUGAAACAAUUUUAGCAAAAUUUGUACAUCAUAUUAUACAAGAUGAAAACAACUGUUUACAACAAGAUGAAAACAACAAGAAAUAUUAAAUUGGACAACAUGAUUAUAAAAAUCGGAACAUGUUUGUUAUGGAAGAAAAAGAAGAAAAUGUUAAGGCUUUUCUAUACCUUGAGGGUUUAACCAUAAUUUUUUUUACUAUCUCGGCAACAACCUCGAUAUCACUGUUUUAUUGUGACUGUGUCGUCACAAAUGCAGGAUGAAAUUGCGAUAGUCACGCAACUAGCGUCUUCAUCAUUGGAAAGGCUCUCAAGAGAGAUUGACUUGUUCUGGACCAAUUUGCGUUAUGAUGAUUACCUGGCUGUAUACGUGUAACGAUUGACGUCCAAUCUUUUCUUUAACAGAAGUGAUAAUUUAACAAGUUAUGUCUUAGGAGAAACAACUUUUGAGAAAGGUAUUACAUUAUACAGAACCCGACAAAAAAGGAUCGAUGAAGAAAACUAAAUGCAAUAAGAUACAACGAGUUUAAACGUAAUCAAACUUCGGAGAACUUAAAUUUCGAAAGAUUCUACACAUUUAAAUUUAAAAUCCUAGAGUAUUAGAUUUCAUAAAAAGGAAACCUGAAGGGAAUGCGUCGCUCGUGAUAUAAAUUAUUAAUUGUUUGUAGCAAUAUUGUGCUUUCCGCCUUCCUUCGAAAGAAUGUUUAUUGCACCGUGAAAGGCCGCUCAGUGACAUUCGAGCCUCGUUCGCAUGUAUCAUACCUGUUCUGAUCUCUGAUUUCGUUAAUCAACAAGCGUUACGUCUGUGUUAUUCAACAUGAAAGCAAAAAUAGUAAAGUCAUCUUAUUACUAAAUAUUUGCUCACAAAAACAUUUCUCUGUCAAGAAUUUUCGUAAGAGACGUGUAUCUAUAAUUAACAUAAUGUAUAGAAUUCCUAAGAGAAAGUUUCUCUUCUAGCAGGUUUUAUACAUUAGGAUAUUUUACUUAUUAUUAAUAUGGUAAAGGGAGAUAUGGGAAUUUCAAGAAUCUGUUACUAUAUAGAACCUUCUAGGUACAAUUUCGAAGUAUCUAAUCUCUUCCUAAUACCUUCAAUAAUAAUUUCUAGAGAUCCGAUAUGAGAUAUCCUGCGAGUUAAUAGACAUGGGCUUAAAUACAUCCAAGGUUUUUUAACUUUUUGUGAAAUUAGUCAGCAGAGAAAGUACAACCUGCUAGGAUAUCUAAUAGUGUGAAUCAUACGGUGUAUGAUAAACCAAUAAGACUCAGUGUAAGUUCUUAAAGUACAUUUUAAACAAAUAAAUUAAACAUGAACUCUGUUGCACAUGUUUUACUACACAUACCUGAACUUUUAUCAGGUUUAUAAACUUUUGCACUCUAUUUUAAAAUAUAUCACCAUAUUUUUAUACACAUAAAAAAUUGAAUGUUUUUUGUUAUAAUGACGAUAAAGCAGGAAUCGAUUAAGUUGAAGCUUACAUUUCUUAGAAUGUUUAAUUUUUGUAUUUGAUUUUAAAUAGCAGAAAAUAAUAAUAGCAAAAACAAGCAACAUCCUAAGAACAACAGGAGGAUAUGAUUAAACAAUGGUAUCUUAGCCUCCAAUUAAUGAUAAAUUAAAUUUAACAAAAGGUACACUGUUAUUUGAAAGUCAAUUCUUAGAGAGGAUUAUAUUUUUAUCUAUGUUGAUAGGAGAUAAGUAGACAAAUUUCACGGAAAUAUAAAAGAACAACGGAAGAAAUUAACAAGUAGAGAUUUAUGAAUUAAAUAAAGAAAGUGGUUGUG
Bombus huntii is the source of this 4342-nucleotide long non-coding RNA. RefSeq lists it as uncharacterized. The transcript is spliced from 3 exons. The record is from RefSeq and is a predicted model, not a curated record. NCBI's taxonomy places the organism in Eukaryota, Metazoa, Arthropoda, Insecta, Hymenoptera, Apidae.